UAGGGCUUCACACGUCAUACAAUGGUCGGUACAGAGGGUUGCCAAGCCGCGAGGUGGAGCCAAUCCCUUAAAGCCGAUCGUAGUCCGGAUCGUAGUCUGCAACUCGACUACGUGAAGUCGGAAUCGCUAGUAAUCGCAGAUCAGCAUGCUGCGGUGAAUACGUUCCCGGGUCUU
This 174-nucleotide ribosomal RNA is filed under the name uncultured Thauera sp. RNAcentral describes it as "partial 16S ribosomal RNA". It matches the Rfam family "Bacterial small subunit ribosomal RNA", at positions 1209 to 1382 of the family's 1533-position model. The record is from RNAcentral. Lineage: Bacteria; Pseudomonadati; Pseudomonadota; Betaproteobacteria; Rhodocyclales; Zoogloeaceae.